AAAAUAAAAUCAAAUAUCAAUGGGUGAUAAUGAAGACCCAUGGCCUAGGCUGGUAACCUCCAUUGCACUUAGGAGGGGUGUCCGCCUACGGUCGGCCCAAGUGGUCAAGCCUACGUCGUAGUUUGUGGCGGAGGGGCCUGCGUUCUAGCGGCGCCUAC
Solanum lycopersicum (tomato) is the source of this 158-nucleotide non-coding RNA. The record is from RefSeq and is a predicted model, not a curated record. NCBI's taxonomy places the organism in Eukaryota, Viridiplantae, Streptophyta, Magnoliopsida, Solanales, Solanaceae.